GAUCCUUAAUAAUUUUUAUUUUAUUUUGCGUCUGUUUUACCUACGAAUUUCUAUCUCUCUGUCUGUUUCCCUCUGAGAGCAGCUCGGAGAAGAGUCUAGAACCUCCAAUCUCUAUAUUUAUAUCUGUUUAACCCUUGAAGACUUUUCUUCUCGACUUGUAACGCGCUUCCUUACUUUGGUUUACUGAACUGAGAAUCGCACCAAAGCGAGGGAACACAAAUGGGGAGACCAAGGUGCUUCUUGGACAUUAGCAUAGGAGAUGAACUUGAAGGCAGGAUUGUGAUUGAGCUUUACAACGACGUCGCUCCCAAAACUGCUGAGAAUUUCAGGGCUCUUUGUACCGGUGAGAAGGGCAUUGGUCCCAACACUGGUGUGCCCCUCCAUUUCAAGGGGUCUUGCUUUCAUCGUGUUAUUAAAGGCUUUAUGAUCCAAGGAGGAGAUAUAUCCGCUGGAGAUGGUACUGGAGGAGAAUCUAUUUAUGGAUUAAAGUUUGAAGAUGAGAAUUUUGAGUUGAAGCAUGAAAGGAAAGGGAUGCUGUCUAUGGCCAAUGCUGGUCCUGACACAAACGGGUCUCAGUUUUUCAUAACUACAACCCGGACAUCGCAUCUUGAUGGCAAGCAUGUUGUAUUUGGGAAGGUAGUCAAAGGAAUGGGGGUGGUCCGAUCGAUUGAGCAUGUGACAACUGGUGACAACGACCGCCCCACUCUAGAUGUUAAAAUCGUGGAUUGUGGAGAAAUCCCUCAAGGAACAGAUGACGGAAUAUCCAACUUUUUCAAAGACGGUGAUACUUUUCCUGAUUGGCCAGCUGACCUUGAUGAGAGCCCUAGUGAACUUCAAUGGUGGAUGAAUGCUGUAGACUCCAUUAAAUCUUUUGGUAAUGAAUACUACAAGAAACAAGACUAUAAAAUGGCUCUCAGGAAGUAUCGGAAGGCUUUACGCUACCUGGAUACUUGCUGGGAGAAGGAAGGGAUUGAUGAAGAGUUGAGUUUAAGUUUGAGAAAAACGAAGUCUCAGGUUUUUACAAACAGCUCUGCUUGCAAACUAAAAUUGGGGGAUCUCAAAGGAGCAUUGCUAGAUACAGAAUUUGCUAUGCGUGACGGAGACAACAAUGUCAAGGCCUUGUUCCGUCAAGGACAGGCAUACAUGGCACUUAAUGAUGUUGAUGCCGCGGUUGAAAGCUUUAAGAAGGCAUUGGUAUUGGAGCCAAAUGACGCUGGAAUUAAAAAGGAAACUUGCUGCUGCCAGGAAGAAGAUUGCUGAGAGGCGUGAUCGGGAGAAAAAGGCAUACAGCAAGAUGUUCCAAUAACAUUUCUGCGAGGGAGACAAGCUAAUCACCACAGCGACACAAAUGUAAAAGAUUGAAAGAAGACAAAUGGAAUGGUUCUAUUAUAAAUGAUGAAAAAUUUUCAACCAACGAUUUUUGCAUUGUUUUACAGAGAACGCUAAGUCUCUAGAUAUAUUUUGUAAUCCUUUUGGAAACAUCUCGUGGUGAUUAUGUGGUGGACCGCCGAUUGUAAUGUCUCUGAUUUUGAUAAGUUUAUUGAUUUAUAUCUCUCGCUGG
This is an RNA transcript of Neltuma alba, 1561 nucleotides long. It is a transcript of the gene named peptidyl-prolyl cis-trans isomerase CYP40, with no coding region annotated. The transcript is spliced from 9 exons. NCBI's taxonomy places the organism in Eukaryota, Viridiplantae, Streptophyta, Magnoliopsida, Fabales, Fabaceae. The record is from RefSeq and is a predicted model, not a curated record.